This 114-nucleotide ribosomal RNA is filed under the name Streptococcus pneumoniae. The record is from RNAcentral. Lineage: Bacteria; Bacillati; Bacillota; Bacilli; Lactobacillales; Streptococcaceae.
AGUGACGAUAGCCUAGGAGAUACACCUGUACCCAUGCCGAACACAGAAGUUAAGCCCUAGAACGCCGGAAGUAAUUGGGGGUUGCCCCCUGUGAGAUAGGGAAGUCGCUUAGCU